ACUCCUACGGGAGGCAGCAGUGGGGAAUAUUGCACAAUGGGGGAAACCCUGAUGCAGCCAUGCCGCGUGUGUGAAGAAGGCCUUGGGUUGUAAAGCACUUUCAGUAGGGAGGAAGGUAGUGUAGUUAACACCUGCAUUAUUUGUACGUUACCUACAGAAGAAGCACCGGCUAACUCCGUGCCAGCAGCCGCGGUAAGUACGGAGGGUGCGAGCGUUAAUCGGAAUUACUGGGCGUAAAGCGCAUGCAGGCGGCCUGUUAAGUCAGAUGUGAAAGCCCGGGGUCUUAACCGUCGGAAUUGCAUUUGAAACUGGCAGGCUAGAGUCUUGUAGAGGGGUUAGAAUUUCAGGUGUAGCGGUGAAAUGCGUAGAGAUC
Molecule: ribosomal RNA, 373 nt
Filed under: uncultured bacterium
Lineage: Bacteria
Description: bacterial SSU rRNA
Rfam family: Bacterial small subunit ribosomal RNA
Source: RNAcentral